AAUGGCGAANCCUGAUGCAGCAACGCCGCGUGCGGGAUGACGGCCUUCGGGUUGUAAACCGCUUUCAGCUCCGACGAAGCGCAAGUGACGGUAGGAGCAGAAGAAGGACCGGCCAACUACGUGCCAGCAGCCGCGGUGAUACGUAGGGUCCGAGCGUUGUCCGGAAUUAUUGGGCGUAAAGGGCUUGUAGGCGGUUUGUCACGUCGGAAGUGAAAACUCAGGGCUUAACCCUGAGCCUGCUUCCGAUACGGGCAAACUAGAGGAAUGCAGGGGAGAAUGGAAUUCCUGGUGGAGCGGUGGAAUGCGCAGAUAUCAGGAGGAACACCAGUGGCGAAGGCGGUUCUCUGGGCAUUUCCUGACGCUGAGAAGCGAAAGCGUGGGGAGCAAACAGGCUUAGAUACCCUGGUAGUCCACGCCGUAAACGGUGGGCACUAGGUGUGGGACUCAUUCCACGAGUUCCGUGCCGUAGCUAACGCAUUAAGUGCCCCGCCUGGGGAGUACGGCCGCAAGGCUAAAACUCAAAGGAAUUGACGGGGGCCCGCACAAGCGGCGGAGCAUGCGGAUUAAUUCGAUGCAACGCGAAGAACCUUACCUGGGUUUGACAUAUGCCGGAAAGCUGCAGAGAUGUAGCCCCCGCAAGGUCGGUAUACAGGUGGUGCAUGGCUGUCGUCAGCUCGUGUCGUGAGAUGUUGGGUUAAGUCCCGCAACGAGCGCAACCCUCGUCCUAUGUUGCCAGCGGAUAAUGCCGGGGACUCAUAGGAGACUGCCGGGGUCAACUCGGAGGAAGGUGGGGAUGACGUCAAGUCAUCAUGCCCCUUAAGUCCAGGGCUUCACGCAUGCUACAAUGGCUGGUACAAAGGGCUGCAAUACCGCAAGGUUGAGCGAAUCCCAAAAAGCCAGUCUCAGUUCGGAUUGGGGUCUGCAACUCG
This 929-nucleotide ribosomal RNA is filed under the name uncultured bacterium. Its description in RNAcentral is "bacterial SSU rRNA". It matches the Rfam family "Bacterial small subunit ribosomal RNA", at positions 370 to 1314 of the family's 1533-position model. The record is from RNAcentral.